This 500-nucleotide ribosomal RNA is filed under the name uncultured bacterium. Its description in RNAcentral is "bacterial SSU rRNA". It matches the Rfam family "Bacterial small subunit ribosomal RNA", at positions 28 to 507 of the family's 1533-position model. The record is from RNAcentral.
GACGAACGCUGGCGGCGUGCCUAAUACAUGCAAGUCGGGCGGAAUGAUGAAGAAGCUUGCUUCUUCUGAUUUUAGCGGCGGACGGGUGAGUAACACGUGGGCAACCUACCUUGUAGAUUGGGAUAACUCCGGGAAACCGGGGCUAAUACCGAAUAAUCCAUUUUGCUUCAUGGCGAGAUGUUGAAAGACGGUUUCGGCUGUCACUACAAGAUGGGCCCGCGGCGCAUUAGCUAGUUGGUAGGGUAAUGGCCUACCAAGGCGACGAUGCGUAGCCGACCUGAGAGGGUGAUCGGCCACACUGGGACUGAGACACGGCCCAGACUCCUACGGGAGGCAGCAGUAGGGAAUCUUCCACAAUGGACGAAAGUCUGAUGGAGCAACGCCGCGUGAGUGAAGAAGGUUUUCGGAUCGUAAAACUCUGUUGUAAGGGAAGAACACGUACGAGAGUAACUGCUCGUACCUUGACGGUACCUUAUUAGAAAGCCACGGCUAACUACGUG